This 271-nucleotide ribosomal RNA is filed under the name uncultured archaeon. RNAcentral's name for it is "partial 16S ribosomal RNA". It matches the Rfam family "Archaeal small subunit ribosomal RNA", at positions 477 to 747 of the family's 1478-position model. The record is from RNAcentral.
CGGCGGCCCGAGUGGUGACCACUAUUAUUGGGUCUAAAGGGUCCGUAGCCGGUUUGAUCAGUCUUCCGGGAAAUCUGACAGCUCAACUGUUAGGCUUCCGGGGGAUACUGUCAGACUUGGGACCGGGAGAGGUAAGAGGUACUACAGGGGUAGGAGUGAAAUCUUGUAAUCCUUGUGGGACCACCAGUGGCGAAGGCGUCUUACCAGAACGGGUCCGACGGUGAGGGACGAAAGCUGGGGGCACGAACCGGAUUAGAUACCCGAGUAGUCC